Molecule: long non-coding RNA, 463 nt
Organism: Otolemur garnettii (small-eared galago)
Lineage: Eukaryota; Metazoa; Chordata; Mammalia; Primates; Galagidae
Exons: 4
Source: RefSeq, a predicted model, not a curated record
GAUCUACUUCAUCAAUUCUUUAGUGUAUCAUCUCUGACUUAAAGUCGAAGAAAAAAAAAACUAAACCAGCCAGUGGCAGACUAUGAAUAUCGCAGGCCUCGGCUGUGGGCAAACAGGAUCAUAUCCAGAACUUCCUACUGUUGGCUCCAGGACACGGGCCCCACAGCAACUACAGGCUGCCAAUGAAUACUAGUUUCCCGGAAUACACGAUCUCUGGCUCCAUCGGCUGUGCCUCACCGAGUUCCCAUCAGGAUGAUUUCCCUGCUGUUUCCCAGAAGGCAGAUGGGGCAGCAGCUGUCACACAGAGCCCGUUGUGGGGCUGCAACUCCUCCAGCACUGACUGCCCUGGGGAGAUCUGGACUCACCUUUGCCCUCCACCCUGUUGGUCCCAUUGGGAACGUUCCAACACCUUCCUUUACACGUCUCUGGGCUGGGCCUACUUAGAAAUUGGGGCCUACUUAGA